UCAAGUUAUUAAGGGUGCAGGGCGGAUGCCUUGGCACUAGGAGCCGAUGAAGGACGUGAUAAGCUGCGAUAAGCUUCGGGGAGUUGCACGUAAACUUUGAUCCGAAGAUUUCCGAAUGAGGAAACUCACUUAGAGUAAUGUCUAAGUAUCGUUAAGUGAAUACAUAGCUUAGCGAGGGGAACCCGGGGAACUGAAACAUCUAAGUACCCGGAGGAAGAGAAAGAAAUUCCAUUCCGUAAGUAGCGGCGAGCGAACGCGGAACAGGCCAAACCAAUGAAGUUUACUUCGUUGGGGUUGCGGACAUACAACAUGGAUGCAAUAUCGUAAAUGAAGAGAGUUGGAAAGCUCCGCCAUAGAAGGUAAUAGCCCUGUAGUUGAAACGAGAAAGCUACUAGUAUGAUCCAGAGUACCACGGGACACGUGAAACCCUGUGGGAAGCAGGAGGGACCAUCCUCCAAGCCUAAAUACUACCUAGUGACCGAUAGCGCAUAGUACCGUGAGGGAAAGGUGAAAAGAACCCCGGGAGGGGAGUGAAAUAGAACCUGAAACCCUGCACUUACAAGCUGUGGGAGCACAUUACUUGUGUGACCGCGUACUUUUUGUAGAACGGGCCAACGAGUUACGUUAAGUAGCAAGGUUAAGCACUUAAGGUGUGGAGCCGUAGCGAAAGCGAGUCUUAAAUGGGCGAUUAAGUUACUUGGCGUAGACCCGAAACCGGGCGACCUAUCCAUGAGCAGGUUGAAGCGAAAGUAAAAUUUCGUGGAGGACCGAACCCACGAGCGUUGAAAAGCUCGGGGAUGACUUGUGGAUAGCGGUGAAAUUCCAAUCGAGCCCGGAGAUAGCUGGUUCUCCCCGAAAUAGCUUUAGGGCUAGCCUCAAGCGUAGAGAAACGGAGGUAGAGCACUGAAUGUCCUAGGGGGUAUUGCACUUACCGAAGACUAUCAAACUCCGAAUGCCGUUUUCUUUUACUUGGGAGUCAGACUGUGGGUGAUAAGAUUCAUAGUCAAAAGGGCAACAGCCCAGAUCGUCAGCUAAGGUCCCUAAAUGUACGUUAAGUGGUAAAGGAUGUGGGAUUGCACAGACAACCAGGAUGUUGGCUUAGAAGCAGCCACUCAUUUAAAGAGUGCGUAAUAGCUCACUGGUCGAGUGAUCCUGCGCCGAAAAUUUCCGGGGCUAAAACGUACUACCGAAGCUACGGCAUCAUUUAUGAUGGGUAGGGGAGCUUCGUAUGCAGGCUGAAGCAUGACCGUAAGGACAUGUGGACAGUAUACGAGUGAGAAUGUUGGCAUGAGUAGCGAGACGUGGGUGAGAAUCCCACGGGCCGUAAACCCAAGGUUUCCAGGGGAAGGUUCGUCCGCCCUGGGUUAGUCGGGACCUAAGCCGAGGCCGAAAGGCGUAGGUGAUGGACAACAGGUUGAUAUUCCUGUACCGCCAAUAAGCGUUUGAGAGAUGGAGUGACACAGUAGGAUAAGCUAACCGUACUGUUGGUUAUGUACGGCUAAGCAUUGAGGCAGUCUAAAUAGGCAAAUCCGUUUAGACAAUGCUAGGAUGUGAUGGGGAAGCCCUUCGGGGCGAAGUAGCUGAUUUCACACUGUCAAGAAAAGCUUCUAUCGAGUUUAAAGGCGCCCGUACCGUAAACCGACACAGGUGGGUGAGGAGAGUAUCCUAAGGCCAGCGAGAGAACUAUUGUUAAGGAACUCGGCAAAAUGACCCCGUAACUUAGGGAGAAGGGGUGCCUGUCUAUGACAGGCCGCAGAGAAUAGGCCCAAGCGACUGUUUACCAAAAACACAGGUUUCUGCUAAGUCGCAAGACGAUGUAUAGGAGCUGACGCCUGCCCGGUGCUGGAAGGUUAAGGGGAUCUGUUAGAGCAAUCGAAGCAGUGAACUUAAGCCCCAGUAAACGGCGGCCGUAACUAUAACGGUCCUAAGGUAGCGAAAUUCCUUGUCGGGUAAGUUCC
This 1958-nucleotide ribosomal RNA is filed under the name human gut metagenome. RNAcentral describes it as "bacterial LSU rRNA". It matches the Rfam family "Bacterial large subunit ribosomal RNA", at positions 3 to 1984 of the family's 2925-position model. The record is from RNAcentral.